UACGUAGGCAGCGAGCGUUGUUCGGAGUUACUGGGCGUAAAGGGUGUGUAGGCGGUUGUUUAAGUUUGGUGUGAAAUCUCCCGGCUCAACUGGGAGGGUGCGCCGAAUACUGAAUGACUUGGAGUGCGGGAGAGGAAAGUGGAAUUCCUGGUGUAGCGGUGAAAUGCGUAGAUAUCAGGAGGAACACCGGUGGCGAAGGCGGCUACCUGGACAGAAACUGACGCUGAGGCGCGAAAGCUAGGGGAGCAAACAGG
Molecule: ribosomal RNA, 254 nt
Filed under: uncultured bacterium
Lineage: Bacteria
Description: partial 16S ribosomal RNA
Rfam family: Bacterial small subunit ribosomal RNA
Source: RNAcentral